UCAAACUUGGUCAUUUAGAGGAAGUAAAAGUCGUAACAAGGUCUCCGUUGGUGAACCAGCGGAGGGAUCAUUACUGAGUUAUAAACUCCAAACCCAUGUGAACAUACCUUUGUUGCCUCGGCGGCGCUCUCAGGGCAAAGUCUAUCGUGGGCCAGCUUACCCUGAACCUACCCUAUACUUACCCUGAAGUGCUCACCCUGUAGCUACCCUGUAGGGGGCGAGGGGAACCGCCGGAGGACCAAACCAUACUCUUGUUUUUAUGUGGCACUCUGAGUACUACUAUUAAAUAAGUCAAAACUUUCAACAACGGAUCUCUUGGUUCUGGCAUCGAUGAAGAACGCAGC
RNAcentral lists this unclassified non-coding RNA (344 nucleotides) under uncultured fungus. Its description in RNAcentral is "partial contains small subunit ribosomal RNA, internal transcribed spacer 1, and 5.8S ribosomal RNA". The stretch from base 1 to 73 matches the Rfam family "Eukaryotic small subunit ribosomal RNA", at positions 1759 to 1831 of the family's 1831-position model. Lineage: Eukaryota; Fungi. The record is from RNAcentral.